Molecule: long non-coding RNA, 2496 nt
Filed under: Nicotiana benthamiana
Lineage: Eukaryota; Viridiplantae; Streptophyta; Magnoliopsida; Solanales; Solanaceae
Description: long non-coding RNA (NBEN_LNC003053)
Source: RNAcentral
CUAAAGAAAAAUGCUUCGACAAUAACACUGAAUGAACCCAUUUGAAAAUGCCUUCGAGUUUGGUCCCAAAAUGAGCCCAAAUCCUUAAUGAGGGGAGGACGUCCAAAUACACAAAUAUGAUGUCAAAUCUGAAAUCGGGCAUCCAUUUAUUGGGCCAGCUUUAGGCCCAAAUUUUCUGAACCAACAAUUGUGCAAAAUCAAUUAAAUACAAACUAAUCAAGACUAUAUGAAACAUGCAAUUGAACUAACUUUUACUUUUGAAUUUUGAUAAUUCAAGCACAAGUGAACUAGCUAAGCAUUCUGAAAUUUAAACACCAAUUCCAAUUUAACAAGCUUAUUCACAACCAAUAUUAAAUCAAUACACAUUUACUCUUAAAAACAACUCUGACCAUUUUUUUUGUUGCUCUUUACGUGAAUUUUGCACUAACUACUAUUUAAGAAACUUCAAACUCAAUUAAACACUUCUCAAUAAUAUCAAUAACCAAUCCAGAAAUCUAGCAUACAGAUUAUUUGGAUCCUAAAAUCACACUAAGAUUCUCAACCUUAUGGAUUCGCUCUUUUAACAACUGAGUUUAGAAAGAGAAUACUGAAGCAAACAUGUAACUACUACAUCGAUUUUCUACCACCUAAAUCCAAUAUGGUACUAAACUUUCAGAAGCAUAGCUUCAACUUCACAGUACAUUAUCAGAAAAAUAAGAAGCUUAAGUAACAAAUGUAAUACGAGAUUCGCCACUAAAUGUUGAAAGAGCAGUAGAAACAGAAGAAAUAAUUUCAAGAAUAAAGGGAUUCAAGAACUAAACUAUGAGCAAAUGGCUUAAUACUAGGCUUCAAACUUCCAUUUUUAUUUCAUUCUUCCCACUCGAGCUUCACAUUAGACAAGAUUCAGAACAUGUACCUGGGACUAAAAGAUAAACAAAGAGGUGAAGGAUCAACAACGAGCAGCAGCAGAAAACCAACUUAAAAAUCAGCAAUGAAACAGUACAAAACCAGCAGAGCAAGCUUUAAAGCCCUGGACAAUUCCAAACAUCUAAAACCCAGUAUGAACCAUUCUAUUGAACCCUUGAAAUGUUGAUUUACCAAAGGAAGUAGAACUCGAAAACUUCAAGCAAAUUUAAGUAUUCUUACUUAAGAGAAAAUAUUCAACCGUUUUCGAUUUUUGUGUUUUUCUCUCUAAAGUCUCAGUUUUGCAAUUAAGCCCUUUUCUAAUUUUUGUUUUUGCUUAGACAACCUCAGGUUGUUGCAUUGCCUGCCAAGUAAGGCUGUUUUUUAGCUUCUAACAAGCUUCCUAAGGCUGUUAUUGAAAGAUUCCCUAAGUUAACUACCCAAAUUACCCUUUUACCUUCUGAAAAUUAAUUCAGGAACCAAAACAAAAAUAGGUCAAAACUGACCCAAGGUCCAAAACUCAAAUGAGCACGACAAAAUUGAAAUUAUGCCUCGCACAUUAUUCAUAGACCCAUUUAGCUAAAAGAAACAAAGGAGGAAACAAAUGAAUCAACUCCCAAGCUCAAAAUCUAACUAACAAAUGAUUCUUCUAAAGUGAUAUAAAAUUGAAUUACCCAUUUUAAUAACAAAAUAACCUAAACUAAUAUUCAGAAUAUUGACACGACUGAAAAUAAAACCAGAUAACAACAACUGCAAAUUUUAAAAAGAAACUGAGAGAAUGAAAAAGGAAGUAAAUACACAACACACAAAAUAACCAAACAAACUGUCCAGAAGGAGUACUAAGACUCGAAACUAAUUUCAACCAGGUCAUGCUAGAGAAAAAGAAAAAGAAAAAGAAAAGUCUAAGCAGAAAUAUGAACAAAAUAAGUGAGAAAAGACAAAGAAACUCACUAAUAUAGACUGAAAACCAACGGCGACCUAGGACGCGACCAAACCAAUAUUGAUCCCUCGUUCUUUGUCAGGAACGACUGAACGAUAUUAGUUUUGUCAGAUCCAACCUUCAAAACUCGAAAAGAACCAAACCCCACGGACGUGCAUACUAGGCUUGAAAAAAAUGAUUUCAAACUUUCGAGGUCAAACUCGGAUUCAAUAUUCAGAGAGCUUUCAGCUGAUUCGGGGGUAACUGACCAUACAUUAGGGAAAGGGUAUUGUGGUGACUAGAUAGUGUUAUUUUGAUGGGGUUUGGGAGUAGCGUCACCACCGAAAAAAUUGGGAUUUUGGGGAGGCUAGCUAGGGUUUCGAAGAUUUGAGUUUAUCCGGAUGGAUUUGAGGAAAUGUGUUUGUAUAUUUGGGAAAAGGGGGGUCAAGGAGAGGUGGUGGUGUAAUUUUGGGCAAGACUGGUCGCCGGUCGCCGCCGUGGGCGAUUUUCGCGGGUGGUGGCGGCGGACGGUAGUGUAGGGAAGAGUUUGGUCGGAGCCUCUGAAGGUUGUGGUGUGAGAGUUGAGGGGUUCUGAGAGAGGUAUGGGGUCGUGUUUGGACAUAUAUAUGUUACUUGAAGUACCAGUUCUCAUCCGUUAGAUGAGAUGAAAUCAACGGGUGAGAUAAAAAAUUAAC